This 83-nucleotide transfer RNA is filed under the name Bacteroidota bacterium. RNAcentral's name for it is "tRNA-OTHER". Lineage: Bacteria; Pseudomonadati; Bacteroidota. The record is from RNAcentral.
GGAGAGGGUAUUAGAGGAUAGAGUAAUGUUUAAAGCAGCUAAAAAAUUAUUCAGGUCCGGGGGUUCGAAUCCCUCACUCUCCG